AUACGUAGGGGGCGAGCGUUGUCCGGACUGAUUGGGCGUAAAGGGCGCGUAGGCGGCCCGGUAAGUCUGGAGUGAAAGUCCUGUUUUUAAGAUGGGAAUUGCUUUGGAUACUGUCGGGCUUGAGUGCAGGAGAGGUAAGUGGAAUUCCCAGUGUAGCGGUGAAAUGCGUAGAGAUUGGGAGGAACACCAGUGGCGAAGGCGACUUACUGGACUGUAACUGACGCUGAGGCGCGAAAGUGUGGGGAGCAAACAGGAUUAGAUACCCUGGUAGUCCACACUGUAAACGAUGAAUGCUAGGUGUAGGGGGUAUCGACCCCUUCUGUGCCGCAGUCAACACAAUAAGCAUUCCGCCUGGGGAGUACGGCCGCAAGGUUGAAACUCAAAUGAAUUGACGGGG
Molecule: ribosomal RNA, 397 nt
Filed under: uncultured bacterium
Lineage: Bacteria
Description: partial 16S ribosomal RNA
Rfam family: Bacterial small subunit ribosomal RNA
Source: RNAcentral